UCCAUCGUAGUACACAGUGUGCUGUUGGUUAGUUUUAAGGAAGUUCAGUACGUGUCGUUAUCUAAAGAAAUAUUAAGUAAGAGAAGAUCCUGCUAGACUUGCGCCUCUAGCGAUAUAGUCAACGCGAAUAAGAAAAUAACUGGUCAGCGGUAAACUAGAAUUUGUUCGAGUUUCGGUUAGAAAUUCAGAAGUAUCAGCAUGACAAAAAACGCCACUAAGAUGUCUUGUCGUGUGAAUAAGACAAAAUGAAGUAGAAGUUGAAGGAAAGACAAAUAAUGUGAUAUCUCCGUUUCUACGUGGCUUUCGUAUUGCUAUUAAUCGAGCGGAUGUUUGGCGAGCCGUGCUGUCAGACUUUCAAGCAACAUCGCUGUAUUUGUCAGUGGCGUGAAUUACGAACGAAUUUGUUCGUAAAAUUUUCUACGCUGCUCGGGAUCAUGUUGAAUUCACAUGGCAACUUUCGCUUGCUCGCGCUUGUUCGCAAGAUUUGGCGUUAGCUGUGAAAGUGCAAACAAGCCAUGCCUCCUUGUCCACCACAGCCCCCGUACAAACUGGAGCUGUUUGCUUUUCCCUCGCAAAACCGCAGCAGAGUGAGUGAGUGAGUGUGCGACUGCAUUCGAUCCGCUUGUACCUUUGCGUCGAAAGAUACUUUCGCUCCAGUUGUUGAGUUAUGACAGCCUUACGGAACGGCAUGAGAAGGAGAUGUUUUAUUCAAAUCAUUUUACAAUUUGACGGAUGUAGGCAUACAUGUCAGGAGUUUGUCAAACAUCGUGAUGAAUGUGAAUUGCAUGUACACCGUGCGGUGUGUAGUAAAUUUGAAAACUUAAUUUGAAUUUUCAUUAUGGCGUAUUGGUUCGCGAUGUGGAGCACUUUAUUACUAUGGUUUGGUUGUGAUGAUGAUAGGAAAACAAUGGCCAAGUAAUGGUUUAACUGAAUAACGGUUGACAUAGGAAAGACGAAGAACAUAUCGCGUAUAUUUGAAGGCGGGUUUGAAAGGAAGUAAUUUGGUUGAAACAUUCAGUAACGAUUUUACGGUGCCGACUUUGAAUAGCCUUGCUCAUUAUGUAACCUUCUUUUUCCGUAUUAUGAGCUACAAAAUUCGCUAUGUUCCGUUUCAAAGGAGCAUUUAAUCUACAGUCCGCUAACGCUGUCUUGGAUAGCAAAUUAAUUGCUGUACUGACACAAGCAUCAUGUUGUAAAUACAAUCCAAAGUGAACAAAUUAACGCCUUAGCAGUCCGCCAUCUGCUGCAAAAAGUUUCUCAAUACAAUAUGUUUCCGUCAUGAUGGUGGUACCAUGCCGGACUAUAGCUCCAUGAUUGUUAAAACAAAGGAAACCAUUGAAGGUCGUAAAUAAAAUUUCUUCUUGAGCGUGUAGUUCAUCAGUGCGAUGAAUUUCCGAUAAACUUCCGCUAAUGUAGUCUCAUUUAUUUGGUGGUACGGUCGGUUGCGUGAAGCAGAUUUGAACCCUUGCUGAAAGUAGUUUCUCUCGGCCAUUCUUAGACACACACACACACACACACCCGCAGCCAAACAUACUUGGGAAAUCCUUCGAGAGGGGAUCUUUGUGCGCGGUCUUGUAUUAUCAAACCCAUCCUUCCUUCUCCAAUCUUUCUCCGUACACAGCCACACACGCGGCCUUUCCGUUUGCCGAUUAUCUGAUUUAGGCGACAGGCAAUCGGAACGCGGUGCAUUAACGCGUCUGUGACGCAAGCAGGGCAAAAGUGGGUAAACCAUCUUACCAUCGCUGCCUCCCCCUCCCCCCUUAUCGUUGG
Long non-coding RNA from Anopheles merus, 1770 nucleotides. RefSeq lists it as uncharacterized. Lineage: Eukaryota; Metazoa; Arthropoda; Insecta; Diptera; Culicidae. The transcript is spliced from 4 exons. The record is from RefSeq and is a predicted model, not a curated record.